CGAAAUAAUGAAGGGAGCAACAGUCGAGUUUAUUAGGAAUGUAAGAGUCACACAAAAACUUUAAAGAUCAAAAAAGACAGAAUGAAAGCAUCAGAUCGAGGGCGAUCUGUCUGCCUUUCUGUCCUGGUCUUACGAGCGAGGUGGUAACAGGAAGAAGUCCGUCAACCAGUCGGUGAGGUUUGUGUACCAUUUUUUUGUUUCUUUCUUUUUCACUUUAUUUAUAAUUUCCAAGAGACUCUGAUUUUGGGUUAGGGUUAGGGUUUAUAAGAUGUAAGGACAGUUAGCGUUUCCCAGACAUAAGUCCUUGUAUGACCAAUUUGUAGUGAAAGAUGUCGCACUACAUGCCUAAUCUUUAGAUGUUCAGAUGUUUUAUCAGGAUAAUGUCUUGGUUUAGUGCUUAUAGUUUGUAGUUUAUUUAUUUAUAUAGCACAUUAAUGACAACAGGAACAUUGACCAUAACUUAUAAUAUUGGUACCAAUAUUAUAACUGUACAUUUAG
Long non-coding RNA from Astatotilapia calliptera (eastern happy), 498 nucleotides. The record is from Ensembl. NCBI's taxonomy places the organism in Eukaryota, Metazoa, Chordata, Actinopteri, Cichliformes, Cichlidae.